CCAAAUGGUAAGUAUUAUACAAUUAUGUUAUAAUUAAAUCAUCUGUGGAGAUUUAUUAUAUUUGUAAUUGAGUGUAACUGUAAAAAAUGUUACUGUAACUGUAAUUCAAAUAUAACAUCGGCAUCUAAGAAAUCUAAUGUUAACAAAUAAUGCCCGUUUUAUAGUUUUUGAUAAACCCCAAUAUUUUAACAGAUUUUUGUUUACAAUAACUCGUAAAAGGUGGGCUUCUGUAUUCAUCUUGUUCUUUCGUCACGCAUGAGAGGGUUGCAUUAUGCAAUAAUUAUAGUUAUUUUUUAAAGCAUAGUCGAAGGGGUUUAGAAAGUAUUUAACAUUAUUUUUUUUAAGCCGGAUUGUUUAAUCUAAGGCGUAUAAAGAUAUCAUAUAAACUAGGUUUCAUUUUAUACACAACGUGGUAGUUUUCUAAAGCCCUAAUGAAAGCCGACUUCAAAAGAUUCAAAUCGAGCAUCGAGGCUUCGCAUGCACGGAUUCAGUUACAUAGUGUAUGCUUGAAAUUAAAUAUUUUGCAAACGAUUGCACAGAACCUUAUAAUCACAUAAUAUCAUAUUGGUUUGGAAUUGGGAUAAAAGAUGCACUGUGCUUUUGUGGAAUAUUUUUGGCAUGAUCCCUUUUUAUUUUCUUUACUCAAAACAUUUUAUUUUAAGGUGUCUUUACUGAUUGUAUUUGUUUUAAAAUCUUCUGUUAUAUUCCAACAGUUUAAUUUCUAUUGUGGUAUCUGGCUAAAUAUACAUAAAAAACAAGCGUUUACAUUUGGCCUUGUACAAUCUUUAAGUGGCUUUUUCCUGUAUUGCACGACGAUGAUCAAUAUAAUAAGCUGUAUAAUGCUAUGUCUUUUUAAAUAAAACGAGAUGUAGUGGAUAUUUGUUUUGGUGUGAUUUCAUCGUAGAUCAAAAAGUUACAGUUCUGGUGCUUAGAUCUGUAUUUUACCGUUGUAAAAUUGUAAUUAUAUUGAAAUAUAUUCCUUUAUAAGCUACUUAGUUUUAAUUCUUAUGCUAUUAGGUUAAUGUUUAUGUAUACAAAACUGUUAAAUAAAUAAGUAUGAAAAUAGUGUGAGGCUUUGAGCUCGUAGAAAACCCCUGUGACAUUGCAUUGACCUUUCCAAGGCAAUGGCCCCCCUUUUGUGAUUGUUUGUGUGUUUGUUAUAUAUGUAUGACUCUUGUGUACCGUAUUUAUUUUGUGCCAUAUGUUUUGGCAAUUAGUUCCGUGUCCUGAAUAAAGGACCGCAUUGUAAAAGAAGGUUUCUCUCGGUGCAAGUGAAGUUUCACGUAAUUUGUAUACGAUACUUUUAGACGUUUUAAACACUGAUGCACUUAUUUUCGUUUUAACGCCUGCCAGUAUCAACAUCUAAACAGUUAAAUAUGCAAUUUAUAAAAUAACAAUUAAGUUCACAAAACUUGAACAGAGAUCUUCAUUUAAUACAUAUAUUUAAUAUCUUAUAGCGCAAAGUCCACCCCACGUUGUUACACAAAUCCCUAUCCCUCUUCUUAUCGAUAAAUUUUUUGGAAUAAAGCCAUAGCUAACGCCCAGCCCCCUUCUUCCCGUUAUUUGUUUACUCGACGCGUAUUAUUUAAACAUGUUUUUAUAGUAUUAUUUUUGUGUUGUGGGCCUGGGGCGAAGCCCCUAGGCCAUAGUACUAAUACCGAUUUUUGAGACAAGCUGACUUGGCUGGCUGCCAAAACAAUCACGAAUGAAUGAGUUUGUGAAAGUCCGAUUUACCACUUGGCGGUCAUUCAUGCGCAAUCAAAGAAGACGGACCUGUACAAACAAAUAGGUCCCUGCAAAGAAGUUCUCAAUAACCCGCAUUGUAAAUACAGAAUAUCACUAUAUAAUAUGACAGUGUUAUAAAACGUGUAAAAAAAUAUUAUUGAAGCAAAAUUGCUAAGCAUUGGGUACGACAUAGUUUUUAUUAUUGUUUGCAUAUUCAUGCGAGAAUAAGUUCCUCACUUGACAGUCUAGGCCGAAAAUAUACGAGUGUCUACGGAGACAGUAAGAAAUUUUUUUACUGAUACAUUUUUAUGCCCCCCUUCGAAGAAGAGGGGGUAUAUUGCUUUGCUCAUGUCGGUCGGUCGGUCGGUAGGUCGGUCGGUCCGUCCACCAGGUGGUUGUCGUAUGAUAACUCAAGAACGCAUACGCAUAGGAUCAUGAAACUUCAUAGGUAGAUUGAUCAUGACUCGCAGAUGACCCCUAUUGAUUUUGAGGUCACUAGGUCAAAGGUCAAGGUCACGGUGACCCGAAAUAGUACAAUGGUUUUCGGAUGAUAACUCAAGAACGCAUACGCUUAGGAUCAUGAAACUUCAUGGGUAGAUUGAUCAUGACUCGCAGAUGACCCCUAUUGAUUUUGAGGUCACUAGGUCAAAGGUCAAGGUCACGGUGACCCGAAAUAGUAAAAUGGUUUCCGGAUGAUAACUCAAGAACGCAUACGCCUAGGAUCAUGAAACUUCAUAGGUAGAUUGAUCAUGACUUGCAGAUGACCCCUAUUGUUUUUGAGGUCACUAGGUCAAAGGUCAAGGUCACGGUGACCUGAAAUAGUAAAAUGGUUUUCGGAUGAUAACUCAAGAACGCUUUUGCCUAGGAUCAUGAAACUUCAUAGGUAGAUUGAUCAUGACUCGCAGAUGACCCCUAUUGAUUUUGAGGUCACUAGGUCAAAGGUCAAGGUCACAGUGACAAAAAUCGUGCUCACACAAUGGCUGCCACUACAAUGGACAGCCCAUAUGGGGGGCAUGCAUGUUUUACAAACAGCCCUUGUUUAAGGUAUUAGCACUCUAAUGAACUUCGUGCAAUAUCGCAUUCUUUCGUACAUAUCCGUCACUCCGAACGCUGGACUGUGCGGAAAACUAAGAAUAUUCUAUAAAUACGCUAUGAAAUACAAAAUGUAGGACCCGCUAAAUACAAUGACAACAAAUAUGGCCGACAUUGUACCUGACAGACUGGGUCGUUUAAAUAAAAAGCAAUUUGCUAUAUUAAAAGAGAACAAUUAAUAAAAGUGUUAUUAUUGUUCAUAUUAAUGUGACUGGAGUUAAUGAUAAACGUCAACUAAUGCAUGGCAGUGUUGAUAAUUAUGAAGAAAACGAUUCCUGGAAAUACAAAUGUCAAACGAUUGAAAAUUUUGACCACUGGCACUGUGAAGAAUAACGUUAUAGCCCGUGUCAUUUACAAAAUUUAAUAUUCUUCUUGAAGGUAAAAGGGGAUAGAGUGGAUUUAUGAUUGUGUGAUGACUGUAGCCAUGUGAACGGGUUAUCGUACGGCAAAACCCAUCACGUAAAGAAGAGUCUUCAACUUUUCAAGAAAGGAAUGCCUUGUUUUGCUAUCAACACAAAGCUCGGAACAGGAAGCUUUAAUAACAAUGAAUACAGUAGGGCACAGUCGACAGUGACAAUUUUUUGAUAAACUUCCUGGUUUUUGUCAAAGGUAAAUUAAAAUAAGUUUUUCAUUUGUUUUUCUCAUUAAAAAAAAUCAAAGUUGGUCUUAAAAGAUGGAAUUUCAUGUUUAAUGAAUCUAUUACACCAAUCAUGAUGUUUGUAUGAGCCGUUUUGGCGGUCAUAACGACGAUUUUAGACGCUGUUUAUGUGUCUGUUUGCCUAGGUAGUUGUCAAAAUCUUAAACACUUCUCAAUUUAUCAUUUGUUGUUGAACUUUUCUAUAAUGACAAUAUUAACAUUUCGUUGAACAAUUUACGGGCAUAUAUUCCAUUAGACGUAUUCUACUUUCAUUUUAUGUACUUAAAUUAUUGUUUUACAUUUAACAGACUGUGAACUGAGCAAGGUUGUAUUAAAAAGUAAUAUCAAAUUUAUGUUGCAAAUCUUUGUGCAAUCUCACAAUGACAGGUUAGCGAUUACAAUUCCAUGCGAAAUGAUAGCAUUAAUGCAUAUGUCAGGAAUGUGUUUAAUUACAAUGUAUAUUUGAUUAUUUUUAUUGGUACAUAUUUUAAUGUUUCUAUUCUUGUAAAAAUUUAUAGUUUUGGAUGUCAAUAUUAAUGGUUGUGUUCAUGAUCAAGUUUAACAUGAAAGCAAUGAUGAUCUAAGAUUCAUAACAACAAAUAAAGAAAGUAGAAAGAAAAAAAAUAUCUUUCUCAUAAAGCACGACCAACUACACAAAUAUGUUGCAAUGCUUUUGAAACUUUAUGUUUUCAAUGAAUUGUCAGACAUGACCAAGAGUUCGCAGCUUAAGAAAACUGAUUAAAUGUUCUCAGUCAAUAUGUGUCUGGACUAUCGGAAUAUCGUUUAGAUUGUAUUGAGAUUUAAUACUUCAUCAUACUUUUGUUUUCAUUGUCAUAUAUUAUUUUCAACUAUAACACAAUCAUACAUAAAUAUUUUGCUAUAUUUUAUUUAUUCAGGGGCAGAACCUACUGCCUGGUAGUUUCAAUGAUGAACUAUCAUGAUAUAGGGCUAAAAGAUGGAUGUGCCAAAUCCACCUCAUGAAAAACAGAUUGGGCAAAAGUGGUGUGCAAACACUAAAUGAUGUGCUGCUAAAUAGCAGAUCUUUACAAAGUGAAUUCGGCAAAUCCUGAUGCAACCUGAGCUUACCAAGUUUACUGACAGUUUGGACUCUUUGUGGAUGAUAAUAUGGACAAUAUAUUGUGUUCAUGUUGUGUUGUGAUUGACAUUUUUUAACAGAUAAGAUUUUUUAAUCCAGACGUAACAGGUGAUUUUUCUUCAAAGAAUAAAUACAAUACUUUUUUGUUGAUGUGCAUGAAUUUGAUUACAAAAUAUCAACAAUGUGUAUCUUGUGUUGUUUUUCCAAUCAGUCUGUCAUCCAUAGGUAAUAUAUUAAGUAUGAGAAGGGAAUAUUUUAUUUUUACAUUUUUGUUGUUUCUGCACACCAUGUCAGAUACAUGAAAAUAUAUUUUAUGCCCCCAACGGGCGGCAUAUAGUUUUCGCACUGUCCGUCUGUCAGUCUGUCUGUCCUCCGUAACACUUUUCGUGUUCACUCUCUAAUUCAAGUAGUUCUAAUCAGAUCUCCAAACUUGGUCAGAAGUUGCAUCCGGAUAAUGUCUAGGUCAAGACGAACAUGGGUCAUGCCGGGCCAAAAACUAUGUCAUAGGGUCACUUAGUGCGUUUCAAACAUUCAGCAUGGUGCCCGCUCUCUAAUUCAAGUAGUUUUCAUCCGAUCUUUCCCAAACUCUGUCAGAAGUUGUAUCUACAUAAUGUCUACGCCAAGUGUGAACAUGGGGCAUGCCGGGCAAAAAACUAGUUCACUGGGUCACUUAGUGCGUUUUAAACAUUCAGCUUGGUGUCUGCUCUCUAAUUCAAUUAGUUUUCAUCUGAUCUUCACCAAACUUGUUCACAAGUUUUAUCUAGAUGGUCUCUAGGCCAAGUUCGAACAUUCAUGCAGAGAAUUGGCAGAAAAAAACAUCUACAAACUGCAGCAGAUGACAUAUGUAACAAACAAAAUAUAAAUAUUGAACAACUGUUAUGUAGCAAACUUAUAGUUAAAUAAAAUAAAGGCGAUGUAUAUCUCAAAAACAUUGGCACACUUAUGCGUUUAUGUAGUGACAAAGUUACAGUUGGGGGCAUCCGUGUCGUGUGGACACAUUUGUUUGAUUAAUGAUAAACAACUCAUUCAUAGUGAUCUAACUAUAAAAUGUUCUUUACACGAUAAGAAAUACAUUGUAUUGUAUGCCUGCUAAUAUUGUGGUCUUAAAAUAAUAUCACUAAUACUGUUGUAGUUCAUUUAAACAUCACGAUAUGUGAUGUUAACGUAUGUGUUCAUGUUAUGUUUGUAUUUGAUUUAUUUUUACAUGUUAAUGAAUAUUUGGUGUUUAAAGUUCAAUCUAUAGUGAAUUAGUUAGUGACGUGUGCCAUUAAAUAUGUACUGCUUAUUGCUUUUAUUUUGUUUAAGUUGAAAAUCAUGUUUUUGAAUCUCUACGUAUGAAAUGCACUAGUGAAUUUGGUUUGACACUUAUGCGAAUAUUAAUUAUAUAUUAACUUCAAAUACAUUGUUGAUCACAAACAGCAUGUGUAUGCAAUCCACAAAUUACUGUUUCCAUAGCAACUGUUAACUUAAUGUAUUUUGUCUACUUUAUUUUAUCAAUCAUGGAACAAAAUUGAAUUGCUAAAUAAACAAAAUAAAGUCUGGCAGUACAGACACACAACACAAAUUGUGUCAUGAGGAGUUAUUCGUUUUAGUUUUAAGUUCAUAGCUGUACAAAAUUUUCAAUUUAUGAAAACACACCUUUUUCCAGAAAAUGUGCAUAUAUUUAUGUAUAUAAUAAACAUGUUAAUGAUGUUCCAUAUCGGUCCAGAACAUAUUUUGUUGAUUUUCUGUGCCUAUUUAGCUCACCUGAGCAAUAGCUCGAGGUGAGCUAUUGUGAUCACUCAGCGUCCGGCGUCCGUCCGUCCGUCCGUCCGUCCGUAAACAAUUUGUAAACACCUUCUUCUACUAAACCAUUGAGCCAAUUUCAACUAAAUUUCAUGUGGAGCAUCCCUUGGUCAUGGGACAAAAGAAUUGUUAAAAAAAAUUUGAUCACAUAACCAAGAUGGCCGCCAUGACCAUAUAUGGUAAAAACCUUAAAAAAUCUUCUUGUCAUAAACCGCUCAUCAGAUUUUCAAAAAAUUUCACAGGGAUGACCUUUGAGGGCUCUCCUGAAAAAGUUGUUCAAACAAAUUUGAUUCGUCAAAAAACAUGGCCGCAGGAGCUCGUUGAACUUUGCAUGUUUAUUCGUUUUUGCCUAUUUUGUGAAAACUUUCAAAAAUCUUCCACAUUUUUUGUCCGAUCCUUUCCAAAUUUGCACAGUGUCUUUUUAUCAAUGAGGACACGAACCCUACAAAAAAUGAGCAUUAUUGGUCCAUGAAGUACAGAAUUACCUCCCAUUGAAUUGAGAAAAUGGUGUUUAUGCAAUAAAGUCCAAAUUUUUCAUCCAAUUCUUUCCAAACUUGUAAGGAUUUAGCAUGGUUCAAACAAGGGAAACAACUACGGUUUAUGCAUGUUCUUUUUAUUACAGAUUUGCCUCCCUUUAAUUCAUUCAAAAUCUCAUUUUACAGCAGAGAUUCCAAAUCUGACCUGUAAAUGAGCCCCAUAUUUACUGCUGGUGCUAUGUUACCUUUUCCCAUUUGAUCAUUCUUAAGUAUUGGUCUUGUAAUGCUGCUACUGCUACUGCUACUGCUACUGCUACUACUACUACUACUACUACUACUUCUACUACUACUACUACUACUACUUCUACUACUACUACUACUACUACUACUUCUACUACUACUCCCACUACUACUACUACUACUACUACUACUACUACUACUACUACUACUACUACUACUACUACUACUACUAGUACUACUACUACUAGUACUACUACCACCACCACCACCACCACCACCACCACGUCUACUAUUACUACUUCUACUACUACUGCCACUACUACUACUACUUUUACCACUACUACUACUACUACUACUACGACUACCACUACUACUACUACUACUACUACUACUACUACUACUACUUCUACUACUUCUACUACUACUACUACCACUACUACUUCUACUACUACUACUACUACUACUACUAAUACUACUACUACUACUACAACUACUAUUACUACUACUACUACUACUACUACUACUACUACUACUACUACUACUACUACUACUACUACUACUACACCACCACCACCACCACCAUUCACAGUGACAAAAAACGUAUUCACACAAUGGCUGCUACUACAACUUAUAGCCCAUAUAGGGGGGCAUGCAUGUUUUACAAACAGCCCUUGUUUCUAUGGGAUUUUAACCACAACUGUUUAUGUUUAUCUCCGACACAUAUUUUUAGGUCACCUGUCAUGAAGUGACACGGUGAGCUUAUGUGAUCGUGUGAUGUCCGGCGUCCGUUGUGCGUGCCUGCGUGUGUCCGUGCGUCCGUCCGUCAACAAUUUGUUUGUGUAGACAGUAGAGGUCACAGUUUGCAUCCAAUCUUGAUGAAAUUUGGUCAAAAUGUUUAUCUUGACGAAAUCCGGUUUGGGAUUGUAUUUGGGUCAUCUGGGGUCAAAAACAAGGUCACUAGGUCAAACAAUAGAACAACCUUCUGUAGACAAUAGAGGUCACAGUUUUCAUCCAAUCUUUAUGAAAUUUGGUCAGAAUGUUUAUCUUGAUGAAAUCUGGGUUGGGAUUUUAUUUGGGUCAUCUGCGGUCAAAAACUAGGUCACUAGGUCAAAUAAUAGAAAAACCUUGUGUAGACAUUAGAGAUCACAGUUUUCAUCCAACCUUUAUGAAAUUUGGUCAGAAUUCUUGAUGAAAUCUGGGUGGGAUUGUAUUUGGGUCAUCUGGGGUAAAAAUCUAGGUCAAAUAAAUAGAAAAACCUUGUGUUGACAAUAGAGGUCACAGUUUUCAUCCAAUAUUUAUGAACUGUGGUCAGAAUGUUUAUCUUGAUGAAAUCUGGAUUGGGAUUGUAUUUGGGUCAUCUAGAGUCACGAACUAGGUCACUAGGUCAAAUCAUAGAAAAACAGUGUGUAGACAAUAGAGGUCAUAGUUUUCAUCUGAUCUUAAUGAGUCAGGUGAGCGAUUCAGGGCCAUCAUGGCCCUCUUGUUUGGCUUAAAUUCUUUAAAAUAGUAAUAAAUAUGAAAAAAGAACAUUUUUUUGUUCCCAUGGCAACUAUGAGUAUUUACGGAUUAAUUUUAGUACAAUUAAUUCCGUACUUUGAAAUUAAUUAUGUUCAUCCAGAUACGCGAUCAAUGGAGAUAUUAUUAACACAAACUGAUCAGCAUAACAAGUACCGAUACUGGUUGAAUAAGGACGUCAUUUCAUCCAAAACGGGCAUUCAGCAUUUAUGACAAACAAAAAGUGACAGACUCAGAUGGGUCAUAAUCUCGUUCCCAGCCACAAAUCUUCAUCGCCUAUGUAGGAUGGCCAUGACUUAUUGAUCGACUAUCCAUUGUGACUUUUUUGAAAAAUGCAGCUGCAGCCUUGAUUUUUAUAAACCUGUUUAUAAUAAAGCAUACAUAUACUAAAUCAAUAAAAAACUUCCGACAAAACGUCUUCUUAAAAAAAGAUAGUUUGACUAUGUAUAAAGAUAUUGACAUCUAUAUACAUAGUCGAACUAUCCUUUUUUAAGAACUAAACUUCUUCCCAAACACACUAAAUCUAGCCCCAGGCCUUCAGCGCCUAUGGCGCUUUGUUUAUUUCGCAGACGCUAAGUGUUUUAUUGGCAUUUAAUUAAAUAGGACAUAUUUUUGUAAGAAGUACACAUACUGCGAUUUAAAUAACGUGCAUUUACGACUUCAGGAAUAUAAUUAGGAAUGAUGUCCGGUCAUUAAAUAGGCCGAAGUGUUUGUCAUGUAAUAUAAAAAAACACGAAGUACGUGGGAUAUUUUUUAUGGUGCAUUUUAAAGCGCGAACUUUAUGGUCCAUCUCAACGGCCCACUUUAAAUGUUUAGGGGUUUUACAAAAGUAUACAUUAUACGCUUCAAGUCUUAAAUGUUUCGGUUUUCGUAUUAAAAUUCCGAUAUUUGAUAAUAAUUUCACAUACAUUUAUUUGAGAAUAAACUUAUAAAAAAUAUAUCAAAAACAUGGUUGAAUAAUACCCGUCAUAUAACGCUCAAUAUUAUUAUAAAACGCAUUCAUGAGGGAAAAUGAGCAUACGUUACGACAUGAGACCAAACACUGUAAAAAAAAUGUUUUGAAUGAAGAUCUCACACGUAGUCUCGACAAUCGCAACAUAAUGUUUCCAUGGCAGAUGAAAGUUAUUUUGAAUGUGAUUAUCCUGCGCCAUAAAAAAUGUGUUUCAAAUAUUUACCUUCAGAACUCUUCAAUUGUUAGAAAUCAUAACAGUACAUAGUGAUGGUUGUCCAGGUUGGUAUUGGUAUCGUUUGGUGAAUUCAGUUUUGUUGGUCUGACAGUCCCGAAACUGGGCCGAAAUCUAUCCUUAGCACUUUCACGAUCAAGGCCAUAACUUGAAACAUGUUAAUAUAUUAAUUCGCUGAGUUGCAUGUAACUAAAACACAAAGAUACUUUAUUAGUCAAUUUUCUACUCAGAAGUCAACUAUAUUACUUCUACAUGUGUUUGUAUGGAGUAAGUCUGCACUUUAUCUAUGCAUAAACGAUUUGACUUAUGUUUACAACAUGUGGUUUUACAUAUUCGUAUAUGAGUUUAAAUAAAAUAUACUUCUUUGUAUUCAAUUGCAGCAAUACCUACCCGUAUGUAUCUGUUAAUUAUUUAUAAAUAUACAUACACGCACGUGUUCACUACAUUUAAGGUUAAUACUUACUCGCAUUUGUAUAUGCGAUAUACAACGUGUUUAUCUAUAAAUGCAAUAUAUACAUUGCAAUUUUUACUUUCUUAAACUUUUACUGUCUUAAUUCUAAGCUGGUUAUUGUAUAUAACCAAAUAUUGUAUCAUUAUAAAUACGCUAUUAAAUAUGAUAUCAUUAUAUCGUUUGCGAAAUUUAGUUCUAAAUGAUUCUUAAUAAUACAAAACAUAUUGAUUAAUAACAUUCACGCAGAUAAAUGUAAGACAUUUCAAUUUUUAUUUUUACUUUCCAGCCUAUCCAGGAUCGACAUAUGCUCCAUUACGUAAGUAUUAUUAAUUUCCAUCCGAAUUAUUACCAAACACCUAAUAUAUUAGUUAAGUUUGGACCUAGUUCAGGAGCGUUUAAAAACUAAAACUUUUUAUGCACUAUUAAGGAAAUAUUUAUGACUCAAUCAUUAUGAAACUUGGUUAGAGUGUUUAUCUUGACAAUAUAUAAGCCGGGUUUGAAUCUGAAUGUUGAUACUUGCGUUCAACAGGUCAAAUUUUAGAAAAAUCUUGUCAUCAAUCAAGCGAUAUUAUUUAUAACUCAACCUUAAUAAAACAAAAUUAGACUUCUUGUUAUAUUGACUUUAUCAUGGCUAACUUCGAAUCUACGUCACACAUAUCAAAAGUUGAAUGAUUUUACACAUUAAAUUGCAAUACGACUAUUAAAUUUUAUUCAGUUUUAUUAAAUAUACGUUCAUUACAUUGGUAUCGUUUUCAUUGUCGCUAAUUAAAUAAUUUAUUUUUCAACAAUCGCGAGUUCUUUUAUUACCAUAUAUGAUGGUACGCAGCGGUGAUCUUUCGAUGGAGGUUAUUUUCGCCAAAGGCUUCUCCUUAGAAAAUGUAAAUUCCACAGGAGCCAUUUGGUUUCUAUCAGUUUCCGAACGUGUAGUUUCUAUGUAAACUGAACUCUAUUUUGCACUUCAAUAAGAAUUUGAACACCGCAGUACUUUUAUGAUAAGCAUUUGCGUUUGUAAAUUUGAGCGUAUUGGAAGGCAUGUACAAAUAUAUUGUCAUUUAUUGUGUAUCCAUUUUUAUUUUAUGCUUUCCGGUGGUUUAUAGAGAAAUAUCAGUGAAAUAAAACUGAUAAUUUUACUGUUUCAAACAAUGAAAAUUAUCAGUAAAAAUUAUCGAUAAUUUUCACUGUUUACUGUGAAAUGACGUCAUUUUUUGACGAAAUGACAUCAUUAUCCCAGCGAAAUUCUUUAGUUAAACUCUUUAACAAUGUACAUAAAUUGUGAAAAAAGCAUAAAAUAAAAAGAAAAUUAGUUGGAUUCGGUGGAGUAUCGAUUUAAUUCACUCGUGAUCAUGGAAAAUAUAUAUUUUCACUCGUGGCUGCGCCACUCGUGAAAAUAUUAUUUUCUAUGAUCACUCCUGAAUUAAAAUCGAUAAUCCACCGAAUCCAACAAAUAUCCUCUAUGUAACAAAAUGUAAAAUGUGUAACCAAUAUGCGAAAUAUGUUCUUUCUACAUGAUACUGACGAUUUGUGAAUAAAGGCAUAUUUUUAGAAUUUUAUUCAAAACGAAGUAAGCCAUUUUCACAAAGUUACGACUUUCAAUAUAAAAAAUCAGGUAGAGAUUUGACAACGUUGCAAUUGACUCUCUCGUAAAAGUGUUAACCUUUAAUUGUGACAUUGACCCUCGAUUGUUUAUAGUGUUCUCCACUUGAGAUGAUUGUAAGAACAACAAAUCUAUUUCAAAAUCUUUAAAUUGUUGUACAUGGUAUGCAGUGUGUCUUACUAUGCUUCAAUUUUCUUAAUGUAAACAUCAGAACUAAAGUGACCAGAGUGAAAGUAUAGAAAGAAAAAGAGUAAUUCACGCCUGGGCUUGAAUCACUGAUCAUUGGAGUAAAUGCAAACGCUUAAACUUCUCGGCAAUGCGUGAUGUUUUGUUUUUUUGUGUGUGCAAACUUUUCUUUUUUCCGUAGAAUAUUACAUACAAAUGUAUACAAUAUACAGUAUACUUGCUGGUACAUACAUAUUAUUGUCUUACACUCAACAUACAUUCAUAUGCAAAGCUAGUAGUGUUUUACUACAAGUAGUUUACAACAGCAAAAACACACAAAACACAAACAAGCGUGUAACGUACAAAAUAAAUUAAUGUUGAAUAUCUGUAUGUAUAUUUAUUUAUUAUAAAAGUAUUGCACAUUAAAAAAAUAGUUAGUAAAAGCUGAAUUGUA
This is a long non-coding RNA of Dreissena polymorpha, 12414 nucleotides long. RefSeq lists it as uncharacterized. The transcript is spliced from 6 exons. The record is from RefSeq and is a predicted model, not a curated record. NCBI's taxonomy places the organism in Eukaryota, Metazoa, Mollusca, Bivalvia, Myida, Dreissenidae.